CUGGAGGCAGCAGUGGGGAAUAUUGGUCAAUGGGCGCAAGCCUGAACCAGCCAUGCCGCGUGCAGGAUGACGGUCCUAUGGAUUGUAAACUGCUUUUGCACAGGAAGAAACACUACCUCGUGAGGUAGCUUGACGGUACUGUGAGAAUAAGGAUCGGCUAACUCCGUGCCAGCAGCCGCGGUAAUACGGAGGAUCCAAGCGUUAUCCGGAAUCAUUGGGUUUAAAGGGUCCGUAGGCGGUCUAAUAAGUCAGUGGUGAAAGCCCUACGCUCAACGUAGGAACGGCCAUUGAUACUGUUAGACUUGAAUUACUUGGAAGUAACUAGAAUAUGUAGUGUAGCGGUGAAAUGCUUAGAGAUUACAUGGAAUACCAAUUGCGAAGGCAGGUUACUACAAGUGGAUUGACGCUGAUGGACGAAAGCGUGGGUAGCGAACAGGAUUAGAUACCCCCGUAGUCC
This 457-nucleotide ribosomal RNA is filed under the name uncultured bacterium. RNAcentral describes it as "bacterial SSU rRNA". It matches the Rfam family "Bacterial small subunit ribosomal RNA", at positions 342 to 796 of the family's 1533-position model. The record is from RNAcentral.